RNAcentral lists this long non-coding RNA (1948 nucleotides) under Sus scrofa (pig). RNAcentral's name for it is "lncRNA (ENSSSCG00045037154.1, ENSSSCG00175008045.1)". Lineage: Eukaryota; Metazoa; Chordata; Mammalia; Artiodactyla; Suidae. The record is from RNAcentral.
AAUUAGCGAUUUCUUCUUUAUUAAAAAAACGAAGCAAAACAAAACUAUUAUCUAUUACUAAAGAAAUCCUCUUGGAACCCAAGGGGAAAAAAGUUAUUCAAAUCAAAUUUAAACAUGACAGACUAUGAGGCUGUGACUUGCAUACAGAUUUUUAACGUAUGGAACAAAUGCAAACUUAGUCCUCCAAUGAAAUAACCAUUUCUAAUACUUUUUAUUAAAAUGGAAAGCUGUAUUCUCCUAGAGCACAGCUGAGAAGAGGCUGAAUUUAGUGUUCACUGGUGUACUUUAGUUUUCUAACUGCCAGGAGCGGCAUGCCUUUAACAAGUGAGGUGAAAGGGAAAUUCUCUGAGGGUACAGCGCUCAGGGACUGUUCUUCUGGCGGAACACUUCAUUGACAUUUCAGCUUUAUUUGUUCUCUAUGUUAAACUAAUCAGCAAAUUAAGGCUACUACAUGUAGCCUUAAAUGCUACUCAUGCCUCAGUUUACACAGCUUAUGCCAACAGACAACAUCCAUAGUAACUGAAAAUUGACCCCUGGUAUAUAAACCAAGGCAUAGAGCCUAGACCUCUAUCUAAGUUGAUGCUGCCUAUCGUUAACCAUCCUAUAUUUACCUUAUUAAUAUUCUUUUCUCAUCAAUUUUAGACUUUAAAAAAAAAAUGAUCUAGAGACAACAUAAAGGGAACAAACCUAAACCACACUAAGCUUAUUUGGGUGUUUGGAACAGGGAACAUUUGCAUUCAGUCCCCCACCAGUACGUGGCUCAUAUAAAUGUCCUAUUUUGAGGGGUUCCCCACUUUAGCUGCUUGGCCAAAUGUGCUUAUUUUAAGAGAAAACUACUCUUAAACAAUAAAUGUUCUCCACUGUGUCCUUUUGUAGCCAAAGGUACCUGGGACAAUUCUAUUCAAAGGUUACAUUCUUCAGAAGCAUCUAAGUCUAAAUAUUAAAUGGCUUUUCCGUGAAAAGUCAGAGGUAUUAAGCAUCAGUAAUUUCAAUACACUCUUGGGAUUUGAGGAGACGUACAGAUAGGAAUCCAACUUUCUACUCAAAACAAAAACGGUACUACCAGGAACAGGUCUGGAGUUCUAACACGAAUGCUGCAGUAAAUGUCUCCAGGAAAAUGGAUUACAUAACAGCUUUGCGAGGGAAUUAAGAGCUCCCAGAGUUCCUUCACACACGCUUUAUAUACGAGGAGGUCCUUUUUAUGCUUACAAUCGAGAGAAUUUAAAGGGUAACAGGGGUAUAAAGUUAUGACGGCUCCGAAAAGGAAUCACAGAGAUCCUGUAGCGUACCUCUGGAAACUGUGCUUCAAAGGAUCCACUCCUUAGGAUUUAAAGGCCAAGUCUUCGCAACGGCCCUGAAAGUACAUACAAGUUUGGGAGGCCAAGUUGGAGCGAGGCAAAUCCGAAAGGUUACCAUGUGUUACUGAAUUUGUUUUUGAACAGGAAGUGACUUUUAGUUUGUAGACAAACCCUCCUAUCUAUACGUGGAGGGCAGCAAGAACUUGAGACGGGAAGGAGAGAAGGGCAUCAGUUAGCAUGUUCACCCCAGCGGGCUGGGUAACGGCUGGGUAAGGGCUGCAUAUGUCAGCGAGUGGCAGCAACACAGCGUCCGCGACAAGUGGAGAGGAUGAGGCAGGGGAAGGCUGGGGAGCGGUGGAAGAAAAAAGACAAGGACCGUUGUAUGUCUAACGAAGACAUGAACAUGUAAGAUGAAACUCAAAAUUAAGACUUCUAUAGAGUCAGAUAAAAAGUACUGCUGCUUAUACGUGGGUUUCAAGAAAUCAGCACACCAUAUAAAUAUACACUACAGAUACAGAUUUCGCUAGAUUUAAAAUUCAGCACUCAAUAAGGCCCUUGACCGUACAAUGUCCCUUAGGCUGCAAACUAUAUCGAGGAGAAUGGUAACCACACAAAUGAGUUUACAAGUCUGUGUUGUAGAACAAAAUGGA